UAUCAAUUAAUAUUUCAUGAAAGUAAAACGACUUUGUGUCUACGAGGAAUACUAGAUGGACAAUGAAACAAUAUAAGGAAAUUCAGACAAAUAUAAAAGAGAAAUCGGUCGACUGAAUCGAAGAGGGUACUGCGGAACGUUAUCCCAAUCCGUUCAAGCAUACGGCUGAGUCAAAGACCAAUACUACAAUCUACAUAAUAAGAUACUAUGGAUUAACAUAAAAAYUACUAUAUUUUAUUAUCUACUCAAGCUCUGACGGCAAAAUAAUUUUAACUCGUACCUUUAUGCUGCGGUGGUGACAACGAUUUCCAGAGCACAAAUGACUUUUUCCUUUCGUUGACUGCCGUUGCUAUGUUACUCCGCUUUUCGCCUUUCUUUCUCCCAAUUGGGUAAUUGUCUACGACUAUUCUUUACUUCCUACAAACAAGCAAUGUUAUCAGUGGUUUGACAACAAGUUAUUUACGCUGAGUUGCAAGCAGCCACAGAGRAGAGCUAACUAUGAAUGUGAACAAUAAGGAGAUCUGGAAGAUUAUGUAUAUUUUUCAUAAGCUGUGUUCUAAGUGAUAAUAGUCAUAAGCCUCUGGGAGAAGACUGAUUACCAUGGAUACGUCACGUUCUUAAAAAAGUUUAGUUUGUUGUCAUGGGGAUAAUGAAUGAUCUAUGAAUGAGAUAAAACUUAUAAUUCUUACAGAGCAAAUAGYGAAGAUUUGUCUACAGGGACUGCGUGUAAAUCGCCUUCCCUCAUCGUGUACCCAAUCGAAUUGUUGAUUGAAAAAGGCAACCCGGCAGCAUCGAAGCUAGGAACGAAGAGGAUUUUGGGUACUUAGUACUUGGUUACUUUUUUCCAAUUUUUCAUGGCAAAUUUCUUGAAGAGAAAGCCAUGAUUAAGGCUUGUAAAUUGUAUGCACUAACUUAUAAAAAUCGAUCAUUUCUAUUUCACUUCAUUUUGAAUAAAAUGCACUAGUUUUGAUACUGGACCAUGAGCUGAAUUAAUUCAAGAGCAAACAAAAUCGUCCAAUUACAGUAUAUGAGGCUUAAUACAAACGACUUAAGAACACUACAAGAGAMAUUUUGACAACUUCAAGGCCGAUAAAAAAUGAAUUAGCUCAACAAUAAUUAGUGUGCAGAUGUUUUGUCGGUUCGUAGCUCAUCUUAAGCACGUUGUAUCUAGURAACUGKGGAUCAAAAGAAAAUAGUAGAUGGCAAUUGAAUCACCAGUGAAGUUUGUGUUUGAAUAUAUAAACUAUAAUUAUAAUUCUUUCCUUUUCUCUUGAUUUCUUUUAUGUACAUUUUUUUCAGUUAAAUACAAAAAAUCUGUCGUCUUUAUAUCAGAUGCAUCAUGGUGUUUUUUUGGGCAUUUGAUUUAGAUUCAUUUAGUGAUUUUCGCUACAUGUUAGAUUCAAAUUAACUGACCUCUUUUCUUAAUAGGGUCAUMAAAAAUUGAACAUAUUCUGCACGUUCGUGACAAAUCAUUUGAAAUAUCAGCUAUCCUAAUUAGGAUGUUACAUGGC
This is a long non-coding RNA of Exaiptasia diaphana, 1511 nucleotides long. RefSeq lists it as uncharacterized. NCBI's taxonomy places the organism in Eukaryota, Metazoa, Cnidaria, Anthozoa, Actiniaria, Aiptasiidae. The record is from RefSeq and is a predicted model, not a curated record. The transcript is spliced from 3 exons.